This is an RNA transcript of Glycine soja, 1612 nucleotides long. RefSeq lists it as uncharacterized. Lineage: Eukaryota; Viridiplantae; Streptophyta; Magnoliopsida; Fabales; Fabaceae. The record is from RefSeq and is a predicted model, not a curated record. The transcript has 3 exons.
AGUAUAUUUUUACUAUUUCUGUAAUCUUUUAUAUCAACGAAUGAAUCUGACACAUAGCACUAUUUGUCAUCCAUGGAUUCCAACGGUGAUGAGUCCUUGGCCUUCAUUUUGGAGUUGUCUCACAUAUCUCCAUCCCAAGAACAAAUCUUGGCCACUGCUCCAUUUGUCGGAGCAGAACAGGACACCGCCGCCUCCGCCUCCCAUGACAUUGACAUGCUGUCGUUGCCGGACUCCGUCCCCGAAGACGUAUUCCACACGCCACCGGAGGAGUCCUCGCUUCCCUCCUCCUCCUCCGACAACCAUUGCGUCGUUAAUUACGCCGUCGUCGACGUGGAUGAUGUGAAUGCUGGGACCGAUUUGGUGAAGGAUUCUGAGUUAGGGUUUUCGGAUGUUCACAUGGAAGAGGUUAACGGAGAGGACAUGGGAAAUUUAGAAACCCUUGUUGGGGAUGUGAGCAUUAGGGUGUCUGAAUCUGCUGAGGUAAGCAAGUCAAGUGAUGUGGCUGCGGAAUCGCGGGGGAAGAAGAGUAAGCAGGGUAAGAACAAAAGUGCCGUUUCUGGAGAGCAGAAGAAGACUGUUAAGGAAGCAGGGCCAGGGCUGCGUCGGGUGUUGCCACCCUCAAUUGCAGCGUCGACGUCGAUGACUGAAACGGGAAAUGGAAGAAGUGGGAACGGUCGGGGUGGGGAGAAAAGGAAAGCUUUUGAUGUUUUUGCUGUGCUUAAAGCUUUCUCAGAGUUAGAGAGCACUGUUGAAGAAAAUAACGAUCACCAUCUUACUCUGUUGGACGUGGCAAGAGCUCGUGGUGUUACCUUUCCUCGGCCAAGGUGGUGGCCGGAGGGGGAUAACUUUGACCCACCACCACCACAAUAGCGUGAGAAAAUGAAGGCAGAUGCUUUUUUUGUUUGAAAGGUGGUCUGAAUGGUGGUGGCCGGAUGCGGAUAACUUUGACCCACCACCACAAUAGUGUGAGGGAACGAAGACAGGCAUGGGCCUAGUCUGAAGAGGGAAUGCUCUAGCAGCUGCAACACGCAAUCCCCAAAAUUAGCUGAGGCUAUGACAAUGACAAUGAAAUGGACGACGGAAAACAAAAAGCUUGAGUAGGUCCUUCUGUAAGUGGUAAUAGAGUGGCAGACUCUCUAGCUUAUGAGUAUAGAGAUAGAUAUUAUUGGGUUGAGGAAACACCUUUCCAAUGCAAUGAAAUCCAAUAUCUUAGCCCGUGAAAGAUAUUUAGAGGCGUACCAUCACAUCUCAGCCAGUGAAUGAUAUUAUCAGCACGACUAAUCGUAGUUAAAAGAUCUUCUUUCGUGCUGAGGCGAUGUACAAGAAAAAUUGUUUGGUAAUUGGUUGGUAGGAUGGGAUUCACCUCCGCCACCCUGUUUUCUAGGGGGACUAGGAGCCAACCUAUGUGAUAUCUUCCCAAAUGUUUCAACGGGGUGUCAAGUUUUGCAUUUAGUGAAUACUUUGUAUAUUUAACAACUUGGGUAUAAAUACAUUUCUAUCAACAUUUUCUUUUGUUUGUUUGGGAAACAAAAAGGUGGGAAAGAGAAGGAAAGGAUGUAAACUAACAAUUUUGAUAAUUUUGCUAUUAAUUUAGUGUUUUACUCUUGAUCCA